RNAcentral lists this ribosomal RNA (678 nucleotides) under uncultured bacterium. RNAcentral's name for it is "bacterial SSU rRNA". It matches the Rfam family "Bacterial small subunit ribosomal RNA", at positions 28 to 754 of the family's 1533-position model. The record is from RNAcentral.
AACGAACGCUGGCGGCAGGCCUAACACAUGCAAGUCGAACGCCCCGCAAGGGGAGUGGCAGACGGGUGAGUAACACGUGGGAACCUUCCCUAUAGUACGGAAUAGCCCAGGGAAACUUGGAGUAAUACCGUAUACGCCCGAAAGGGGAAAGAAUUUCGCUAUAGGAUGGGCCCGCGUAGGAUCAGCUAGUUGGUGAGGUAAUGGCUCACCAAGGCGACGAUCCUUAGCUGGUUUGAGAGAACGACCAGCCACACUGGGACUGAGACACGGCCCAGACUCCUACGGGAGGCAGCAGUGGGGAAUAUUGGACAAUGGGCGCAAGCCUGAUCCAGCCAUGCCGCGUGAGUGAUGAAGGCCUUAGGGUUGUAAAGCUCUUUUGCCGGGGACGAUAAUGACGGUACCCGGAGAAUAAGUCCCGGCUAACUUCGUGCCAGCAGCCGCGGUAAUACAGAAGGGGACUAGCGUUGUUCGGAAUCACUGGGCGUAAAGCGCACGUAGGCGGAUUUGUAAGUCAGGGGUGAAAUCCCGGGGCUCAACCUCGGAACUGCCUUUGAUACUGCGAAUCUUGAGUCCGAUAGAGGUGGGUGGAAUUCCUAGUGUAGAGGUGAAAUUCGUAGAUAUUACGAAGAACACCGGUGGCGAAGGCGGCCCACUGGAUCGGUACUGACGCUGAAGUGC